This is a non-coding RNA of Paramuricea clavata, 2434 nucleotides long. The record is from the annotation of a GenBank genome assembly. Lineage: Eukaryota; Metazoa; Cnidaria; Anthozoa; Malacalcyonacea; Plexauridae.
AACGCAAAAAUUUUAGUUAUCGAGGAAAAUGUGGGUCAUAUGAACCUAGAAAGAACCUAGGAUUUGUAUGGUUCAGUUAAAGAACGUUUGAUGUGAAAUAUUUAUCGACAGUCACCUUGGGUUUAUUUUCUUCGAUAAAAAUACUUCUUGUGCAUGUAGACUGUAAUUACUUCAAGUUUUUACGUUGUUACAUACAUUAUUCCACUUCUAUUUUCAGAGAAAAGGCAAAACAUCGAAAUUGCUGCAUAUCGCUUCCAUUUUGAGCUUUUGACAACCUUCGGAAUACUUGAUACCACAUUCGCAAAGUUGAUUUCAGAAAUGUUGACGCAUGCAUAGACGUGUUUAAACGGUGUUAGCUUUCUUACUUUUUUUGGAUAGCUCAGCACAUCCAUUCCUCACCACACUUACGUCAUCGAUUGCCACAUCACUGGUGUAACCAUUGCCACGAACAGCUUCAAAUACUCUGAAAACCGAAAGUAAGUUUUUUUAUCUUUAAAUCAGGCUGUUAUCCAUCGAAAGUAAUUGUUUUGAUGAUAGGGAAGGUUUUCGACAAUUUUCAGAAAGUUUGGACUAGUUUGAGGUAGUUUUUCAAUGUUUUUGAAUUUGAGAAAUUUCCUUUGGUUCCCCCUUUGCUAGGGCUAAGGUACCCUGUGGUCCCCCCAAUGCAUGAGACCAAAAUUUUUUAAAUCAUGUUUUUAUUGAUCGAAAGUAAUUGUUUUGAUCACAGGAAAGGUUUUCAACAAUUUUCAGAAAGUUUCGACUAGUUUGAGGCAGUUUUUCAAUGUUUUUGAAUUUUUUAGAAAUUACCUUUGGUCCCCCCUCCUUUGCUAGGGCUAAGAUACCCUGUGGUCCCCCCUAAGGAUCUGACCGAAAUUUUUUAAAUCAACUUUUUAUCGAUCGAAAGUAAUUGUUUUGAUGAUAGGAAAGGUUUUCGACAAUUUUCAGAAAGCUUGGACUAGUUUGAGGCAGUUUUUCAAUGUUUUUGAAUUUUUGAGAAAUUACCUUUGGUCCCCCCUUUGCUAGAGCUAAGGUCCCCUGUGGUCCCCCUUGUGCAUCUGACCAAAAAUUUUUAAAUCAUGUUUUUAUCGAUCGAAAGUAACUGUUUUGAUCAUAGGAAAGGUUUUCAACAAUUUUCAGAAAGUUUGGACUAGUUUGAGGUAGUUUUUCAAUGUUUUGAAUUUUUUAGAAAUUUCCUUUGGUCCCCCCUUUGCUAGAGCUAAGGUCCCUGUGGUCCCCCUAUGCAUCUGACCGAAAUUUUUUAAAUCAAAUUUUUAUCGAUCGAAAGUAACUGUUUUGAUGAUAGGAAAGGUUUUCAACAAUUUUCAGAAAGUUUGGACUAGUUUGAGGCAGUUUUUCAAUGUUUUUAAAAAAUUUCAUUUGGUCCCCCCUUUGCAUAACUUGCUUAUAUUACGGUAUGUAAAUAUGUUACCAUUCAAUUGUAAAAAGCAUUUAUAUGCUUAUUGUAAAUUUACAUUAAUUGUUCUACUGUUACAGCUUUAGCAAUGUCUUACAAUAAGUGUAGUAAUGUUGUAAUACUUUAUUCACAUGUGCCUACACUUUAUAUCAACUGAUUUACAUAAAUUAUAAAUAAUGAAUUCCUAAUACACUACAUCUUCCCCUGGGAACAAUUUCCAAAUAUUAUUCUACUUCCUAUAUAUUCUAUAAUACAUUUUUUUUUCUUUUCUUCUUUUUUUUAAAACAUUAUAGUAUUAAUAGAUAUAACUAGAUAAAGUUCAAUAAUAGACAAAGUCCUUAGGCCGAACAAAAUUUCUUCCAUGACUUUUUGGAAAAUUUCGCUGAUAUCACUGAACCCAAACGGAACACGCUUGAAACGAAAACAGCCUUUGUUUGUUAUAAAGCCUAGUUCUCAUUCAUCGCAAACCGUCGGCGAUGGGAGCUUUGCGACGCCGGCGACCGCUUGCCAUUUAUGAGAACACAUCAAAAAUUAUAUCGCCGAUUGUCCGUAAUCGUCGCCGACCAUCGGCGAUGACAUCGCAGGAAACAAAAAAGUUUGUUUCUUGGGACCAUCGCCGACUGCCACCUGCUUGAAAAAUCUAUGAGAAAUGAGUAAAAGUUGUUUUUUCCUCUACAAGCAAGGAAAUAAUCAAUUGAAGUUUGACAGAAAUAAUGAACUUUACGUUGAAUGGGGCCAUUUUGUAGGAAAUUUGGGAAAUUUCGAAACACAUCGGCUGUCAUCUGCGACGAUCACCGAUGUAUGAGAACUUUCGUGCAUUCGCGCUCGGCGAGUAUCGGCGAUAAGCGUCGCCGAUCGUCGGUGACAGUUUGCGAUGAAUGAGAACUAGGCUUAAAUAGGGAUGAGCCGAUUAAUCGGUAAAUAAUCGGCAAAGCUGAUUAAUCGGCCGUUUUUUAAAUAAUCGGUAAUCGGCCAAUUAUUGCCUGAUAAUCGGCAAAUAAUCGGCCAUAAGACUUUUUC